This 6827-nucleotide long non-coding RNA is filed under the name Monomorium pharaonis (pharaoh ant). Its description in RNAcentral is "uncharacterized LOC118647765". The record is from RNAcentral. Lineage: Eukaryota; Metazoa; Arthropoda; Insecta; Hymenoptera; Formicidae.
UACAAAAAUUACUGUCUUCCUGCCGGUAAAACAGACGUCAGGCACACGUUUCGGGUUACACGACAUUUUCCCGAAAACUAGAUGAGAAAAUGUUGGUACUAACCAAAUUCUCUAGGCAAUACAGUUUCAAUUUCUACAGGUUAGUAACACUGUUAGAGUAGUAAAUUCAAGGUUUGCAGAGUCGGUUUUGACGUAUGCGUGCGUAUGUGUCAAACAAUAAAUAUUAUAUAAAUGAUUUAUGACAUUUGAUUUAAUAAAUGAAUAAAAAUUACAUAAAUAACUAAAAAUAUAGUGCAUAAAGAUGAACAAGGUGAACAAAUGUUUUAUAGUAUAUUUAUAUAUGAGAAAACAAAUUAUUAUAUUUAUAAUGUAUUAAUGUAUUAUAUAUUAUUAUAUGUAUUAUAUUAUAUUAUAUUGUAUUUAUAUUAUAUUAUACUAUAUUAUAUUAAUUUUCAGUUUCUUUAAUGUGCCUUUAUAAACACCAUGCAUGAUUGAAUUUUCGUUCUUCGCCUUGGAUUCAUUCAGAUUUCAAUGAAAUAAAAUUAAUAGAAACAUAAAGAAAGAAGAUGGAAAGAAAUAAAGGAGAAUAGACAAAUAUAUCAGAUAAGUAGCUAAUAUCUUUAUAGAAUAAAAAAUUGUGUAUCCUAUGUGUUUUUUGUAAUCAUAGAGGAACUAGCUAAUUCAUUUCUUGAAUUAAUUUUUUGUUUCAGCUUCCCAGUCAAUCAUUUGCUUGUAGAAUGUUGACAGCCGGAGAACAAUCUCCUGCAGAGUGAAACUACCAAAUUCUAAGCCUCCUACGUUCUCGAGUGUACCAAAAUUGUAAGCAAAAAAGUUGAAAUCACAUUGUAGCAUUAAGUAAAUUUAUCAUUAACAGUGCAACAACAGAUUGAUACAACAAGCUGAGAGUAGGCUUGUCAAAAUUGUUUGUACUACGAAGCAUAUGUGCUGUUUGUACCAGCAAUGUACUCACAUUGUUUACACUAGAGAUACUGUUGCGUUUAUCAUUAAUAUGUCAUCAACGCUUUCGACAAACCUGCUCAUUGUUCAUUAUCACUUUGUUAUAUGUAUAGUCUGCUGAUCGAUGUAUACCUUUUAUCUUUCAGCAAGCAGAACAUGUGUUAUCCACAUUGGUCUUUGCAAGAAUGGGGAUUUGGAGUAGCAAUGGAAUGCUUGUCAAAGAUUAUUUUGCUAUUUCGUUUUGUUCGUGCCCAAAAUUGUGGAUGCCUCAUGAAGCUCCGAAUACGUUUCUGGUGCUCAGAAAGGUAAACUGUAAAUAAUAUUGCAUUUUAAAAAUAAUUAAUAUGGUAUGGAAAAAAUGUUUGCAAAAUGAGGCAUUUAAUAUACCUAAAAAUUCAACAAUUGUCGUGUGUUUUUUCAGAUUUAACCGAAUUUCUCGGUUGUGUCUCUCAGAAAUAUAAUUAGUCCUGUGUACUUUUUGAAAUACGCAGAAGGAAUCGGGCUUAAAGUUAUUCAGCCACGUUUCUUGAUAAUAAUGAAAAAAGGAUUCCAAAAACGUGCAAUUAUGGAAUAUAAUUGUAGAUAUUAAUUUAAAGCCUUCUUUUAUCAAUGUAUGUGGUAAAUAAGUCAAAGAUAUCAACAGUUUUGUAGCACCCCACCCCACAUCAUCUUUUAGUAUACCAUAUUUUUCAGCAUUAUGCACUAAUGCCUGUGAUAAGAAAUAAACACGAUUAAAAUUGACAUGCAUUUUAUGCUAAUUAAGUGUAAUGUUAUUUUUCCUAAUUACCUGACUGUAAUGAAAUAAACGGCCCAUAAUUUUAGCGCUAGGAAAAACUAUUCGUAAAGCUUUCCUUUCAGCUUUCUCAAAAUCAGAUAUCACUGUAUCAGGUUCUAUUUUUAAAAUAUUUGUAACUUUUUUUAAUACAGCAAUAUAAUUUUUUGCGGUGCGACCUUCCAUUAUGGCGUAGACUAUUGGAAAUGUCUAAAAAAUUUCAAAGCAUUUAUAUUUAAUAAUAUAUUUAUAUAGAAUAUAGAGUGCCCGUUGUGAUUAAAGGAACUAAUUAUUUUAAUAAUGAACUAAAUUGUUUUGCUUACUCUAUUAUUGUGUCUAAUGAUAAUUGUCCACAAUUGGCAAUUAAUAUUUUUUAGCUGGCGAACAGUAGCGAAUGUUCCAUCUACAAAAACUGUUAGUUUAUUGUUUUGCUCAUUUAGAAUUUUAUCUGACAAACUUUUGUCAAUAAAAAUAAUUGCUUUCGUCGUAUUAUCUUCAACAACUAAUUCUACAAUGAAUAAACCUUUUUCUGUUAUAAUCUUUUAAUUAACUCUCACUCUGAUGAUGAUUACUUACUGCUUACUUUGUAUUUGCGUUCGAUUUACUAAUUACUUCAAGUAUAAACUAAUGUUAAAAGUUAAAUAUUGCGGUUUAUUCAUUAUUCCUUAUGCAUUUGUUUGUCGUUAUGAUUUUUUUCUAGUUAGUAUUUUUCCCGAUUGUCAUUUUGCAGUCAAACCAAGAUACUGUGUGUUGACACUGUGUUUAUUAUAUUGCGUGUUGAAAAUUAGAGUAUUUGUCGCGUGCAUUUGUUAAUAUGGCAGAAAAAACAAAAUAUAAUUUUUCGAGAAUACAAGAAACAAAAGUGGAAUAUCAGGGAUAUCAUUUCCAUCUGAAUAAAUCGAACGCAGAUACGAAGUAAGUGGAAAUCAUCAUCAGAGUGAGAGAAUCUUUAAUUAAAAGAUAACAUAGAAAAAUUGAAAGAGUAGCUUGUAAUUUAAUAAUUUUUUAUUUGUAUAUUGUGGCACCAUACUGUGGUACUUCUUUUUUUAAGCUUUAUUUAUUUACUUAUAAGAAAUAAUUGAAUGUUCAUUCUUUAUAUAGUUCUACAAAAAUUGAUAACAUUUUUUUAAUUCUUUUACACAAUCAGUACAGAAGAACAUUAAAUUUUUGCGGUGCGAUCUUCCAUUAGGAAGGUCGCACCGCAAAAAAUUAUAUUGCUGUAUUAAAAAAAGUUACAAAUAUUUUAAAAAUAGAACCUGAUACAGUGAUAUCUGAUUUUGAGAAAGCUGAAAGGAAAGCUUUACGAAUAGUUUUUCCUAGCGCUAAAAUUAUGGGCCGUUUAUUUCAUUACAGUCAGGUAAUUAGGAAAAAUAACAUUACACUUAAUUAGCAUAAAAUGCAUGUCAAUUUUAAUCGUGUUUAUUUCUUAUCACAGGCAUUAGUGCAUAAUGCUGAAAAAUAUGGUAUACUAAAAGAUGAUGUGGGGUGGGGUGCUACAAAACUGUUGAUAUCUUUGACUUAUUUACCACAUACAUUGAUAAAAGAAGGCUUUAAAUUAAUAUCUACAAUUAUAUUCCAUAAUUGCACGUUUUUGGAAUCCUUUUUUCAUUAUUAUCAAGAAACGUGGCUGAAUAACUUUAAGCCCGAUUCCUUCUGCGUAUUUCAAAAAGUACACAGGACUAAUUAUAUUUCUGAGAGACACAACCGAGAAAUUCGGUUAAAUCUGAAAAAACACACGACAAUUGUUGAAUUUUUAGGUAUAUUAAAUGCCUCAUUUUGCAAACAUUUUUUCCAUACCAUAUUAAUUAUUUUUAAAAUGCAAUAUUAUUUACAGUUUACCUUUCUGAGCACCAGAAACGUAUUCGGAGCUUCAUGAGGCAUCCACAAUUUUGGGCACGAACAAAACGAAAUAGCCUAAAAGAAAAAGAAAAUAAAAUAUUAGAAAUUUGGAGUCAAAUUGAAGAUAACAAAGAUUUGGAUCUUUUAUUAAUCUUGUAUAAAUUAUUCGAAUUAGUAGGGAAAUUAUAAGUGUUCGAGACAAUAACAAUUAUUUUAAAGUUUUGACAUUGUCCUUUUAUUUGCUCUGUUUUAUCCGCGAGUAGUGAGGGCUCCUGACAGCCAUCGAGCUUUUGAUAGUUCAUUUCUUCGAUGCACCGAGUCGCGCGGCGCUGUCACUAGCUCCUCACACGCGCGAUUUUCGUUUGCUAUCAGCACCGGUAACUAUGCAUCUCGGUCGCUAUGCAAAUAAACAUGCCCAAAAAAGGGCACGUCCAAAUCCAUGCCCAAAUAAGUCUCGAUAUCGGUUCCCUACCGCCCCUUUUCUCGCCUCCGAUCGUAAUUGUUUUACGAUGCAUAAUUCUUCAGUCUCUCGCAGCCCGGCACCGACAUCAGAUCGUCCAACAGAUCUCUCCCGUCUUCCGCCGAUCCUAGCUGCGAAGAUUCACUUCCGCUCUUCCCUAUCAUUCGCGCCGUGAUAGUGCGAGUGCAUUAUUAAUUAAUCCGCUCCGACCAUGCAAUUCUUAAUUUUAAUAUCCGCGUGAAUGUUGUAAGUGUGUUACGUUCGUGCGCAGGUGACCGUAUCUUUCCCGCGAACGUCCUCUGCCUCGCGCACAAGAUCUCCGUCGGAUCGCGCGCAAGAUUUCCGGAUUUGCGAGGACCUCGAUCUCGAGGCUCUGCAAGAUUUCCGCGUCGAUUAGGCAGCGCAAUAUCAGGGCGUAUCAAGAUAUCCGACACAGUGUAAAAGAUACGGUUCGCCCCUCGCUUCGAGCGUUCGUUUGUGGAAUAAAGAAAUUAAGUGUGAGUGAUAUCUAUGCCUCCUCCUUAUUCCUAUCACCUCCCGUGAACCUCCCGCAUUCCUGACCACUCACUUCGCGUCUCUAUCGGGACGGAUCCCGGCAAUUCUCCCCGUGCGAUCGCGUUUACUCUACGCACGCGCGAACAAUAAGUAAAUAAACAUUUUAAUACUACUACUAUUCUUUUUUUAAUUAUUGUUCCUAGACUUGUAACUUUUUUAUUUAUUAUGGUCUUAAUGGGUUUCCAUUUACGAUAAUUUAUUUUACUUCAAAUAGUGUAAAUUUACUUACAAAAUAAUCUUUGACAAGCAUUCCAUUGCUACUCCAAAUACCCAUUCUUGCAAAGACCAAUGUGGAUAACACAUGUUCUGCUUGCUGAAAGAUAAAAGGUAUACAUCGAUCAGCAGACUAUACAUAUAACAAAGUGACAAUGAACAAUGAGCAGGUUUGUCGAAAGCGUUGAUGACAUAUUAAUGAUAAACGCAACAGUAUCUCUAGUGUAAACAAUGUGAGUACAUUGCUGGUACAAACAGCACAUAUGCUUCGUAGUACAAACAAUUUUGACAAGCCUACUCUCAGCUUGUUGUAUCAAUCUGUUGUUGCACUGUUAAUGAUAAAUUUACUUAAUGCUACAAUGUGAUUUCAACUUUUUUGCUUACAAUUUUGGUACACUCGAGAACGUAGGAGGCUUAGAAUUUGGUAGUUUCACUCUGCAGGAGAUUGUUCUCCGGCUGUCAACAUUCUACAAGCAAAUGAUUGACUGGGAAGCUGAAACAAAAAAUUAAUUCAAGAAAUGAAUUGGCUAGUUCCUCUAUGAUUACAAAAAACACAUAGGAUACACAAUUUUUUAUUCUAUAAAGAUAUUAGCUACUUAUCUGAUAUAUUUGUCUAUUCUCCUUUAUUUCUUUCCAUCUUCUUUCUUUAUGUUUCUAUUAAUUUUAUUUCAUUGAAAUCUGAAUGAUUCCAAGGCGAAGAACGAAAAUUCAAUCAUGCAUGGUGUUUAUAAAGGCACAUUAAAGAAACUGAAAAUUAAUAUAAUAUAGUAUAAUAUAAUAUAAAUACAAUAUAAUAUAAUAUAAUACAUAUAAUAAUAUAUAAUACAUUAAUACAUUAUAAAUAUAAUAAUUUGUUUUCUCAUAUAUAAAUAUACUAUAAAACAUUUGUUCACCUUGUUCAUCUUUAUGCACUAUAUUUUUAGUUAUUUAUAUAAUUUUUAUUCAUUUAUUAAAUCAAAUGUCAUAAAUCAUUUAUAUAAUAUUUAUUGUUUGACACAUACGCGCGCAUACGUCAAAACCGACUCUGCAAACCUUGAAUUUACUACUCUAACAGUGUUACUAACCUGUAGAAAUUGAAACGGUAUUGCCUAGAGAAUUUGGUUAGUACCAACAUUUUCUCAUCUAGUUUUCGGGAAAAUGUCGUGUAACCACGUUUCCAGCAUCCCCUUAAAUUUACAUUAUAAAAAGGCUACUUUAUAUGAAUAAUUAUUUGUUCUAAUGUUGUUUAGUAGUUGUCGUUUGUUUUAUACUUAUAUUGGUUGGCAUCCAAUUAUGGCCAGAUUUUAUUGAUAUUAUUCUAACUACAAAUGAGUCUCGAUCACGCCGCCUGCAAAGCUUAACUGAACACUUUAUUGAUCAAGAAAGAUAUUACUAUAUACAGCAAUUCCAUAUAAAUGCAACUUUAUGCAUAGGAUUCACCGCAUCGAUAUCAACAGGAUCAAUGCUUUUGACAUGUGGUCAACAUGCAUGUGGAAUGUUUAAAAUUGCUAGUUAUCGUAUCAAGAAGGCAAUAGUAAUUUACAUUCAAAGUAUUAAUUUUAAAAACAAAAAAUUGGUUUAUAACAAUUUUAUUUACGGUGUACAUAUUCAUCGAAAGGCAAUAAUGUAAGUAUUUACAUUCUCUAAUACAAUGUCUCUAUAUAUAUUAUAUAUGUAAUAACAAUUUAUUUUUUGAAGGUUUUCCGAAUAUAUAAUAUCUAACUUUGAGAUGUCAUUUAUGUUUUUAAUAAUACUUGGUGUAUUUAGUUUAAGUCUUAAUAUUUUCCAAGUAAGUUUUAUUUAUAAGUCCAUAUUUAAUAAAUAUGUGUCACAUGUUUAUGGUGUUUUAUAUGUGUUUAAUAAUCUUUAUAUUUUGAAUAAUUUUGACAACUUAGAUUAAAAAUUUUUGUGACAUUUAUAAAAGAAAAAUUUUAAUGUUAAUUUUGUAAUUUUAUUAGUGACUAAUUUGGUCUGGUCUACGGCGCAAGGUACCUUUUUUGUGGGCCUGUGUUAUUAUUAUAGAUACUACGUUGCUUAAAAAAGAAAUUUCUA